This 78-nucleotide transfer RNA is filed under the name Actinomyces sp. 432. RNAcentral's name for it is "tRNA-Thr". It matches the Rfam family "tRNA". Rfam says of the family: Transfer RNA (tRNA) molecules are approximately 80 nucleotides in length. Their secondary structure includes four short double-helical elements and three loops (D, anti-codon, and T loops). Lineage: Bacteria; Bacillati; Actinomycetota; Actinomycetes; Actinomycetales; Actinomycetaceae. The record is from RNAcentral.
CCCGCGUGGUCAGGGUAGGGGCGGAUCGGCUGUCUUGUAAACAGCAGGUCGUCGGUUCGAGUCCGACACGCGGCUCCA